This 21-nucleotide non-coding RNA is filed under the name Arabidopsis thaliana (thale cress). The record is from RNAcentral. Lineage: Eukaryota; Viridiplantae; Streptophyta; Magnoliopsida; Brassicales; Brassicaceae.
UAACGUACUGCCAAACCCGUC